Molecule: transfer RNA, 73 nt
Filed under: Mucilaginibacter gossypiicola
Lineage: Bacteria; Pseudomonadati; Bacteroidota; Sphingobacteriia; Sphingobacteriales; Sphingobacteriaceae
Description: tRNA_Glu_TTC
Rfam family: tRNA
About the family: Transfer RNA (tRNA) molecules are approximately 80 nucleotides in length.
Source: RNAcentral
GAAGCGUUGGACAAGAGGUUAAGUCGCCACACUUUCACUGUGGAGAUCACGGGUUCGAUCCCCGUACGCUUUA